UACGGGGGGAGCAAGCGUUGUUCGGAUUUACUGGGCGUAAAGGGCGCGUAGGCGGCCAGCACAAUUCAGUUGUGAAAUCUCCGGGCUUAACUCGGAAAGGUCAACUGAUACUGUGCGGCUAGAGUGCGGAAGGGGCAACUGGAAUUCUUGGUGUAGCGGUGAAAUGCGUAGAUAUCAAGAGGAACACCUGCGGCGAAGGCGGGUUGCUGGGCCGACACUGACGCUGAGGCGCGAAAGCUAGGGGAGCAAACGGG
Molecule: ribosomal RNA, 254 nt
Filed under: uncultured bacterium
Lineage: Bacteria
Description: partial 16S ribosomal RNA
Rfam family: Bacterial small subunit ribosomal RNA
Source: RNAcentral